GUACUCGCUUCGGCGGUACAUGUAUACUAAAAUUGGAACGAGACAGAGAAGAUUAGCAUGGCCCCUGCGCAAGGAUGACACUCAAAAUUGUGAAGUGUUCCACAUUUUU
Coccinella septempunctata (seven-spotted ladybird) is the source of this 109-nucleotide small nuclear RNA. Lineage: Eukaryota; Metazoa; Arthropoda; Insecta; Coleoptera; Coccinellidae. The record is from RefSeq and is a predicted model, not a curated record.